Molecule: ribosomal RNA, 497 nt
Filed under: uncultured bacterium
Lineage: Bacteria
Description: partial 16S ribosomal RNA
Rfam family: Bacterial small subunit ribosomal RNA
Source: RNAcentral
GGGGGGGGGGGGGGGCGGGCCGAGUGGAGGGGGGGGGGGCGGGGAGGCGGGGGGCUUGCUCCUCUGGCGGUAGCGGCGGACGGGUGAGUCACACGUGGAUCACCUCCCGAUACUACUGGGCUACCUUCGGGACACCGGAGCUCAUACCGGAUACACUCUUGAACCGCCUGGUUCCCUCGUGACAGACGGUUUUGCUGUCCCUUCUAGAUGGAUCCGCGCCGCACUAGCGUGUUGGUAAGGUAACGGCUUACACCAGCAACGAUUCGUAGCCGACCUGACAGGGUGAUCGGCCACCCUGGAACUGGGACACGGUCCAGACUCCUACGGGAGGCAGCAGUAGGGAAUCUGCGUCAAUGGGCGAAAGCCUGACGGAGCAACGCCGCGUGAGUGAUGAAGGUCUUCGGAUCGUAAAACUCUGUUAUUAGGGAAGAACAAAUGUGUAAGUAACUAUGCACGUCUUGACGGUACCUAAUCAGAAAGCCACGGCUAACUACGUG